CCUACGGGAGGCAGCAGUAGGGAAUCUUCCACAAUGGACGAAAGUCUGAUGGAGCAACGCCGCGUGAGUGAUGAAGGUUUUCGGAUCGUAAAACUCUGUUGUAAGGGAAGAACAAGUACGAGAGGGAAUGCUCGUACCUUGACGGUACCUUGCGAGAAAGCCACGGCUAACUACGUGCCGGCAGCCGCGGUAAUACGUAGGUGGCAAGCGUUGUCCGGAAUUAUUGGGCGUAAAGCGCGCGCAGGCGGCCUUUUAAGUCUGAUGUGAAAGCCCCCGGCUCAACCGGGGAGGGUCAUUGGAAACUGGAAGGCUUGAGUACAGAAGAGAAGAGUGGAAUUCCAUGUGUAGCGGUGAAAUGCGUAGAGAUGUGGAGGAACACCAGUGGCGAAGGCGACUCUUUGGUCUGUAACUGACGCUGAGGCGCGAAAGCGUGGGGAGCAAACAGGAUUAGAUACCCUGGUAGUCCACGCCGUAAACGAUGAGUGCUAGGUGUUGGGGGGUUUCCGCCCCUCAGUGCUGAGACUACGACAUAAGUACACUCCGCCGUCGGGAGGUACGGCCGCGACGGCGNGAACGUACGAAAGGAAGUUAGACGGCGUGAGACGUGACCGACGGACGACGACGAGGGAGGAGG
RNAcentral lists this ribosomal RNA (634 nucleotides) under uncultured bacterium. RNAcentral's name for it is "bacterial SSU rRNA". The stretch from base 1 to 545 matches the Rfam family "Bacterial small subunit ribosomal RNA", at positions 338 to 873 of the family's 1533-position model. The record is from RNAcentral.